This is a long non-coding RNA of Gasterosteus aculeatus aculeatus (three-spined stickleback), 3315 nucleotides long. The record is from Ensembl. Lineage: Eukaryota; Metazoa; Chordata; Actinopteri; Perciformes; Gasterosteidae.
AUUGGUUGGCUAUUAAAAACGAAUAGAAAUAAUGUGACGCUUGAAUAAACUGUGUUCAUUGUUCCCAGCCAUAGUGUAUAGAUUUCAACAGAUUACAGAUUCUAAACUCUAAACUAAAGUAAUUAUGAAGUCCAUUUUUUGUGUCAAGAGUGCGAUACAGGAUCAUCAUUGCCAUCUAGAAAGGAGAUUGGUUUCCAAAAUAAUUGGAUCCACCUCCAGUGUAAAUUAGACACACCAGACAGACUAAAUGAGUGAUAUUUGACACAAAGGUACCCAGAAGGUACAGUGGGUCAUGAGUGGUCAAAUUGAGGAAAACCGGUUGUAGAUUAAAUUACAGCUCUUAGACUUUAACCCUGUCAGUUCAGGUCAUGACAUUUAUUCAACCCAGGUCUGUUGACACGCUUCAGAUUAAGUAUUAUUUGAAGCAGAUUCAACGGGGAAGUGGAUACUUUGUAAUCUUUAUUUUAUGAACUGUACUGCACAUUUUAUUCUAGUUUAACAUUGUUUAUGGUUUAAAUAUAUUUUACUUAAUUGUUUUUAGACUUCCUUUUCUUUUGCCUGAUGUUUUGAUGGUUCUAAAUGUCUUCAUGUGAAAUGUGCUAUACUAAAAUAAUUGCCCUUGCCUUAGUAAACUUUGUAUGUACACAUACAACAUACAUGUCACACACUUACAUAUUUUAAUGGAAAUGUCUCAGAUAAAAGAAUACAAGUCAGACGUGACAUUUUGUAAUGCCUGGGGAUAAAAAAAUAGAUAAAAAAUAAACAAUAAUUGUGAAAAAACGUUUAAAUUCCUACAUGUAACAAUUUGCUCUACUUCGUGGAUAGAUAAAAUUAUAAGAGUCUGUAUUGUAAAUUAAUCUGUACCGAACAGAUGUUAACGUUAGCCGAGCUAGAUAACAGCUAGCACAGCUUCAUGAAGGUUUGAAGAGCUCACCUUGUCAAGAGUGUCGAUUGAUUAAAUAAUUAUCACAUCCCAAUAUGUAAUAUUCCAAAGUGGCUCUAAAAAAAUCAUAUCUGAGCCUUAAUGGUCACAGAACACUCCGUGGUAUCUGACAGCCUCUACUUUCCUUCCACUUUGACAAUAUUGAUCUCUUGAUUCCGCAGAGAGUGGUGAGAGUCCAUCACUGGCUGGAUAGACACACAGUCCUGGAGGGUGCUAGAACAGCUGCUUGGGAAAUUAGUAGUUUUACUCUCUGAUCCCCUGAAAGUCUGACAAUGAGGCUGGCUGUAUGCAGAAACAUAGGAUUGUGUGUAGGGUUGCAUCAGUGUUUGGCUGUUUUGCUGUGGGUAAGCAGCUGCAUAUGGUUGUGUGCGGGGGGGAGUCGGCAUAAGUGGGAGGUUCUCAGCAUUGCUACCCGUUGGAAACCCAUUCAUAUUUGAAGGGCUGAGUCCUGGCACUUUAAAGGCCUCUACAUUUUCUAAACUCUCCAAGGAGCGGAAGCCUGGCUCAGUUUGGCUGCACUGGGUGUAUGUGCCUUGACUAAAGUUGAAAGUGUCCUGGUUGAAAGAGGUAGAUGCUGUAGCUGUCGGCAAUCCAGAUGGCGAUGGAGUUUUGUUGUGCUGCUGUUGAACAACGCUACAACGUCCUAAAUUGGUGGCGAGGGUCUGUAGAGUGCUGAGGAUCUGCUUCUGAAUGUGUGUUUGCUGCGCCUGCUCCCUCUCCAGGCAGCCCUGCUGCUCCACCAGCAUCCUCACUGCCAGACCCAAGCUCCGCACCUCAGAUCCCAGGGUCUGAAUUUGAUCCUGUAGACCACCUCUACAGUCCUGGACUGCCUGCUGGGGGCUCGGGUUCCCAUCACUACGAGUGGCGCCCUGGCCUCCAGGGGUCUGUAAGCGGAUAACAGCAACCCCAGGGGCCGAGAAUGGUAAAGCUGCUGGUGACCGGUUAGGAAGACGAACGCCAACCUGAGGAAUUGAGUGGAGAGAGCUGCCGGACAGACAUUGUCUGCGUUUAAGCAAACGCCUGGGGGGGUUGACUCCACCAGAUUGACCUUCAACAGCAUUCUGUGCAACAUAACAGAAAUAUUAUAAAAACAGUGGUGAAAAAUGUAAAAAGUUAUAAUGCAUUUUUAAUAAAAUGACACAGAAUCUUAAGUAAGUCAGGUUCCUAAGAUCAGGUGAGGACAUAUGCUGGAAUACUACCAGGUGCCAGCAACAGCUGUAAAAUAUUAACAAUACCUUAUUUGGCCCGGUUAUAAAAGGUGACUGACAUCCGCCAUUGUUAAGUGAAGGCACACACUUUAGCUAAGGUAAAUAAAGACGGAGAUCGGAUUUUCUCUUUCCUCACCUUUUCAGUGGUCAGAUCGUAAGUUUCAGGUGGUUGGGGCAUUGCACCUCUCAAAUUAGCAGCUUGGACCCGAGUGUGAUCUCUUCUUAGCAUUGGCGCGAACUGGUGGAGUGACUGUUGGAAGCAAUGUGUGCAAGUGAAGCUUGUCAGAUGAUCUGAUGCUUUUGGAAUUUCCGUCCGCAUACAGGUCUUGGCUAUAACAAGUUAUAAAAUGAACAAUUGGAAUUGCGUAAAAUUGGGAGAAAUUGUGUCUAAGUAGCUACCUUCAUCCUGUGUGACAGAGCCUUAUCCAAAAGCCUCUUUCGGGCUGCCAGCAUGGAAUUGGUGGCUGGAGAGGGUGUAGCUCUCCUCCUCAUGACUCCAGAGACUGUAAGCGUGGUAGACAAGGGACUGGCCUCUGCUGUCGUUAAUGUGGGGGCAACUCUUGGUUGGCUGCUCUGUGCAAGGGAGGUGACACUUACAAUCUGGAUGUCAUUUUCUUCCUUAUCUUCGGUUUGGUGCUGUUCUGGCCGGCUGCCUCCACAAGUCUCGCCAGACGUAGAUGGCUUUACUCCAGUAUCUGGAUUUGUGGACGCAUGUUUGGAAAAAUGGGCAGCUGCUCCAAAUCCAGAAUGGUGUGAUGCUUCUCGCAGAAAAUUUUGGAUUUGAAUAUUAUUCCAGCUCUCUUGCAUUGCCCCGGAUUGAGGCUGCACUUGUGCGGGAGAUGUGCGGUUUCCGGCAUCCAUGGGUCUGACCCUCCCAGGCGGCCGCCCUUGAAAGUCCUUCAGGAACAUAUAGAUGGCCUGGGCGGACACCUUGAUGUUCUCCAGCUCCAGCACAGCUUGGAUCUUACGGAAACUCAGACCAGUCCUCCGCAGUUCCACCACUUUGAGUUUGGCGGCAUCAUCCAGCCGGCCCAUAGUCUCUAUUGUAGAGGGACUCUGUGAGUUUGGCGGUUGAUCUAUAAAAGAACAUGUAGAUGAAAAGGAACAAAAGUAGUCUGUGAUUAUUACUGGGGAAUAAAGAAUGUGUGCUGCCAAUGUGGACUA